UUAGGCCCCUUUGAGCUAGCUUUUGGGGUGAGUUAGGUCUGGCCCAAAUUUAACAUGGUAUCAGAGCCUCCCCAUCCGAUGUUGGGCCUCCCAUAAAUGUGUCACGCACCAGUAAAAAUUCUGGGCGUGAGGGGGUGUGUUGAAUCCCACAUUGGUUGUGGAAAGGGGUAAUGUGCCCCUUAUAUGGGCCAUAGGCACUCCUCCCCCUUGAGCUAGCUUUUGGAGUGAGUUAGGUCUGACUCAAAUUUAACAAUAAGUAGAAGAGAAAGCUAAUUUUGUGCCACAAGCGGAACUGAAAAACAUUUCCUAAAUAACUUGGUAGUGAUGUGUCCCUUCCUUUUUCUUGAUUCCCAAGGGUGAUUCUCUUGGCAGCUUUAGCUCUUCUAGUGUAUACCCAAUAUGCCCUUGGAGUUGUAUCUGGAUUCCUAUCAUUGCCACCUCCUUAAGAAGCAGCCUUGUCCUCAAGGCUAAAAUGAGGAAACUGAGCACAGAUAUUAGCUUCGUUCACCCAUGUUGCAUUUUCUUCGGUUUGACCUUGCCGCUGGACUAGAAUUUGCGAAAUUGAUUGGUUGUUUUGUUGAAGGGUCCUCCUUUGGCAUUCAAGUAGUGGCUCCUCUUUGAUCUCCAAGGUCUCGGGAAGGUGUUCCAUAACAAAGGAUCCCCACUGCUUUCUUUAAUUGAGAAACAUGGAAAACAUGAUAGAUUUUUUAUGAUGGAGGUAGCUUCAAUUUAUAGGCUACAACUCCCACUUUACUGAUUACCUCAAAAGGACCGAAGUAAUGGGCUGCAAGCUUGGCAUUGAUACAAUUAGCUGUCGAUUGCUAUCUAUAGGGUCGGAGCUUGAGAAAAACCUUGUCUCCAACUGAAAAUUGAAUCUCUCGCCUAUGUUUAUUGGCGUACUUCACCAUCAGCUGUUGUGCCCUUAGGAGGCUGUGGCGUAGCUGUCUUGAAACAUCAUCUCUAUCCGAUAAAUGUUGGGACAAUGCCUCAACACAAGUUUCCCCUGGUAAAUAAUGUUAUAAAACAAGAGGUGUUUUGCCAUAGACAACUUUGAAAGGUGUUUUCUUGGUUGGCCCAUGGAAAUUGGUGUUGUGCCAGUACUUUGCCCAACAAAGCCAUUUUGACCAAUUUCUAGGCUGCUCGGAGGAGAAACAACGUAGGUAACACUCUAGGCUGCAGUUUAUGACCUCUGUUUGGCCGUUAGUCUGAGGGUGAUAGGAUGAACUAAAAGAGAGCGCGGAUCCUUGUAACUUGAACAGUUUAGUCCAGAAAUGGCUUAAGAAAACUAGGUCUCUAUCACUGACAAUAGUUUUUGGUCAACCUCUCUUAUAAAUACCUCCACCACUUUAGAUGUCGUGAAUGGAUGUCUCAAAGUAAUGAAAUGAGCAUACUUAGACAACCUAUACACCACUACUAGUACUAAUAUGCAAUCUGCCCCCUUUGACCUUUGUAAUCCCGAUAUGAAAUAUAAUGAGAUGUCUUCCCAAAUGUUGUGAGGGAUGGGCAACGGUUGGAGCAGCCCGCCAGGAGACUUCGUCUCAUGUUUAUGGGUUUGACAUAUCAAGUAGGCAGCAACAAAUUGCUUGAUUGAAUUCAUCAUUCCUGGCCAGAAGAAGUUCUCGGCAAUUCGCUUGUAAGUUCUAAAGGCUCCUGACAGAAGUAAUAUGGAAUUUCGCAAUAAGUGUGGGUAUCCACUUAGAAGAGGAAGGAAGUGCUAAUCUGCCUUUGUAGAAGAGGUGGCCAUGGAUAAGGGAAUAGUGAGUGUGACGAUGAGUUGGUGUAGACAAUGUUGAGAUAAUUCUAGAUAAUUGUGGGUCUUGUUCAAUCUCAGCCUGAAUUUCAUCCAAUCCAUACAUUCAUCCCAAUCCAUCCCUUGGGCUCUCGAUACUACCUGAACUUCCAUUUCUUCAUUGCAUCGUGACAAUGCGUUUGUUGUCUUAUUUGUUUUACCAGCCUUGUAUUCAAUUAUAAAAUCAUACCCCAUAAUUUUUGCCGCCCAAUAUUGCUCUGCCGGUGUUGAAACCUCUUGGUGUAGCAGAUGUCGCAGACUUUGUUGAUCGGUUCGCACCGUGAACCUUCUGCCAAUCAAAUAGGGGCGCCAAUGUCGAAUGGCCAGAACCAGAGCCAUUACGUCAUUCUUAUAAGCUUAUCUGGAUAAGGUGAGGUCGCUGGUGGCUUUACUGAAAAAAGCCAAGGGUUGAAUUUGUUGCAUCAGCACGCCCCCAUACCUGAAUUGAAGCGUUUGUUUCAACUACAAAUUCCUUGGAGAAAUCCGGCAUAGCCAAAACUGGGGAUGAGGUGACUGCUGAUUUCAAGUGUUCAAAGGACUCUUGUGCUUUUGGAGUCCACACAAAGGCCCCCUGUGAUUCUUUCUUUAGUAAUUCAGUCAACGGCUGAGCAAUUUGUCCAUAUCCAGCGAUAAAAUGCCAAUAGUACCCUUUUAGACCCAAGAAUCCUCUAACACCCUUAACAUUAGUGGGCGUAGGCCAGUUACAAGCCCGAGCAGAGGAAAUUCUGCUAAUACAAUGGAUUAGAAAAGAUGUCCCGCUCUCCUCAUACAUACUAUUUAUACUGACAUUUCCUAACUAACUUGGUGAUGAUGUGUCCCUUCCUUUUUCUUGAUUCCCAAGAGUGAUUCUCUUGGCAGCUUUACCUCUUCUAGUGUAUACCCAAUAUGCCCCUAGAGUUGUAGCUGGAUUCCUAUCACAUUUCUCCCUUCCAAUUAGAAUCUUUGAGAGCUUCCUUCUAAUUCCACAGGAUUAGACAUAGAGAAAAUAGAUAAGACAAAGGCCCUAUAGGAUGGAGAUAAAGAAUCAUAAGAGAGAGAGUUAGAAAUAGAGUGUUUUAUGUAAGACCUAACUCUUUUUCUUUGAACAAUUGGUUUAUUUAGAUUAUCAAUGAGCUCAUGGUUUAGAGUUGACUCACCAGACGGAGAAGAGGAAGAUUCAUGACACUGAGUAGGUUGCACAAUGACUUUCUGCUUCUGUUGUAUAUUUUCUUCAAUAUCUUCUUAAAUUUGAUUUAUCCAAACGACUAAUUAUCUUUUCCUAAUCACCAAUAGUUUUCCCUAUACAGUAGUCUCUUCUUGAAUAAAACGCUCUAAAGUUAAAAUUAUAGGAUAAGGAAUCAUCCGUUCUCUCUCAUUGUCCUUCCCCUGAAAAGUUGAUGGGAUAGUAUUGAAAUAAGGUUCAGUCUCUCUCUAAACGUAACAUCCAUACUGACAAAAUAUUUUUUAGAUGGAAGGUAGUAAAUACUUUUUCUGUAUUUCACCACCUUCUUCAGCCAUGUUAUUUGAAUUCAUAGGAUUACUGCUGCUUCCAGAAGACCUGUCAAUUUCUUUCCCUUGAGUAGGGCUAAAAAAUUCCUGCAAUUGUUUCGACAAAUUUUGCAAUUGUGCUUCCAAACGUGCUUCAGAUUGCUGCACUCUAGCCUCCAUUUUUGUCUUUGCCUGCGCCACUCUUGCUUCUGUCAGUAAUUGCGCUUUUUAGAAUAGGGAUUUGAGUUCUUCUCUUGGAUCUCCCAUGACAAUCAGUAACGGUACCAAUUUGUUAUGCUCACAAGCUAAAGAUCUAGUCACUGGAUGAUUGAUGGAGAAAUCACUUCCUUCGCUAGUCUCCUUGUUUUGUUCCGGUUACGUCCUCACCUUGCUGACCCUAUGAUGCUAUGAUGCUGAAUUAAUAGAAAUAGGAGCUCGGUAGAGGGAGUUUUUGACAUCUCAAGACUUUUUAGAAGGAAUCUCAAUUCACAAGUGAUUUGUAAAUAAUUUAGCUG
This 3771-nucleotide long non-coding RNA is filed under the name Manihot esculenta (cassava). RNAcentral describes it as "long non-coding RNA (MESC_LNC009590)". Lineage: Eukaryota; Viridiplantae; Streptophyta; Magnoliopsida; Malpighiales; Euphorbiaceae. The record is from RNAcentral.